Molecule: long non-coding RNA, 2615 nt
Organism: Rosa chinensis
Lineage: Eukaryota; Viridiplantae; Streptophyta; Magnoliopsida; Rosales; Rosaceae
Exons: 2
Source: RefSeq, a predicted model, not a curated record
AAAUGGCAUGCAAAUGCAAAUGCAAUUUCAACACAAUGCCCCUCACAAAAUGAUAGAGUGGAUAGCAUUUCUUCAAAACAAAGUCAUCCUUCUCCCAAUCCCGACUCUCUUUAUUCUCUCCUCUCCAACAUUAACCAGUUCCCAACACACUCUUUUCAUGACCCCCAUAGAAUAAUAUGAAUCAAGCACAAUCCCAACUCCAUACCCGGAUCUUCAAACCAACCAAAAGAAUCCCAGAAUGAAAUAUCAAUUUGUAAAUUGUAAUGGGUACCCUUUCAAAUGGACAAUCCCUUUUCAUAUGAGAAGCAUUGACAGAUUGACAGCAAUGAAUGUUGUUGUUGUUGUUGUUGUUGUUGCUGCCUGAAAAGGUCUUUGAUUUCUAUGCUGUGUUCUUCUGCCGGUGAGAUUUUCCUUUGUGAUUUACUUGAUUGUUACUUCAUUCUCUCUCUCUGUUGGGAUUGUUCUGUUGAUGAUCUGUUGUUUGUGUGGUGAUCAAUGAUGAUAGAUUCUUAUAAGUCUAUAACUUACAUGUUUAUGACUACAUUGGAUGGUUUAGAUAUAUCUAAUUUCGUAGUAGGUAAUCAGUUUGUGUGCUCCAUCAAAGAUGAUUGAGUAUUUGCUCUUGGUUUUAACCCAUCGGUUUUCUUUUGUUUGCAUAAAUCUUUAUUAAUUACUGGAGGUACUUGAUUUCAAGAAAGGUGUGUAAUCUUGUAGAGACCAAUGUUUGAUGCUAAAUUUAGUUUAUUUGGUCAUCGACAAUGAUCAAGAUCUUAUAUGAACUACCUUUACAGGAUAAUGUAUCUGCUUAAUUAUUAGGAAGGCUUUUGUACAAAAUAGAAAAGACCCUCUAAUACGAAAUUGAUUCAGAGACAUAUGAUAAAUAAAACUGUGAUGAAAGGGCAUAUCCUAGAUUGGUCCAGCUAGUGGUAAACAUAUUGUUCUCCGCAGGCUUUGGGGGAGUAGUUAGGACUGUAGGUUGAAGAAACUCAAUCCUUGUAUUUGAUUUUCUUUUCCUUUCUCUGCUAUGGACUAGAAGAUCCAAUGGCAUUGGAUUUAGCAACAGUUUUAUCUCAUUUUAUCCGUCUUCGUUGCCUUUUUUUGGCAUAUGGAUUGGAAGCUACAAGGCCAUGGGAUGUUUAUCUCCUUUCUCUCCUGGUCCAGUUGGUGCAACAUUCGCGUGCAUACGAUAGUUUGUUGCAUGCUAGGCCUAGAUUGUUAGUUAAUCAUCUUAUUAGGAGUUCCGAAUUAGUGGAUGCUGCCAACAGGAGUGGCGAUGCCAUACGCAAAAAGGAAGGGACUCAUAGAAUGGCAGAGGCAAAUAGUUGAUUUCAAGUUGGAAGCUCAUUUGGUCUUUAGGUAACUGUCUUUUGCAACUUCUUUUAUCUAUGGAAUCCAGUAGUGAAACAUUGCUGACGUAAAAGACGUUACUUUUACAAAGGUUAACGUUUACCUUGGAUGUUUGUUUUCACUCUAACAGAUGUUUGUCUUGAAUCAUGAUUAGUCCAUAGGCAUACUUUCAGAUCCUUUUCUCUUAUAAUUGGUUCAGUUUGCUUAUUUUCUAUUAUCUUAACUUGCUUUUGUAAGAAGUCUUAAAGUUGCAUAUCACCAUGUUUAACAUGGAUUAGGAGAUGCUUUCAUUAUGUUCUUUUCGCAUCAACAUCCAUUGUCUGAGUAUAUUUGUUUUCCUUUGUGUUUGAUAAUGUCAAACAACAUGUCCUUAAACAAUGAAAUAAAUCCACGGAUAUGCUGACUUGUAACUAGGCAGGUCAUUCAAGUGAUUGAUGGCUAUGUGAAACUUAGCCCGGUCAGGUGCAGUGGUCUUGAUUUGUUCACUCUGUCACGCUAGACAGUCCCUUAAACCUUCAGGUUAGUAGAGCGCCCCACCCGAUACCAGUGAGUGGCAAACCACUAAUAACUCCAUAGAUAUGGAUGCUUAGCUGAUGAGUCUCAUCCUUCUGACCUCCCAUGUUCCUUGUAGAAAACAAUAUCGCCCAAGUUUAACUUGAUAAUAAUCAUAGUUCAUCCUUUCCAAAUUGAUUGAUAUGAAACACAUCUUCAUGUAUUGGUAUUCUUUGAGCAGUUCUGGUGAUCUCGGGCACUGCAGUCUGCGGUUUAUCAGGGAAGCAACAGAAAAAGGACAGACAAGCCGUUGGAUAUGGAAGUCUGAAGUAAUGGCCUCCAUACGAUACAGCAAUUUUAUGACAUACAAACCCAAAGCUCUUUACUAAGGCUCCCUGGAGAUUCAACGUGUCUGCGGUCUGCCUCAUUCACCCUUAAUUGGUGUAGGAGCGCACUUCAAAGUGGAAGAUCCUGUAUAUGAAGCCCAGAUGAGCUUAAUAACUCGUGCUGCGAUUGCCAUAGUAAUCAAUUGGGCUGUAGCCUGGUUUUCAGGAGUGGUGUUUGCAGGAAUUGCUCUACGGGGAAUACGCAGGACAAAGUCGCAAGAUCAAAUAGCAGGAUCAAAUCAACAAAAUUUUACAUUUAGAUCCCAUCUGCUAUGACUAAUCUUACAAUUAAAUGCUGUGUCCCUCAUGUGGAAACUAUACUUGAAAGAAACACAAUCUCUAAUCGACUACUUGACAUACCUGAAAUACUAAAAUGAGACGUUUUUACAA